GCCGGAGUAGCUCAGCUGGUAGAGCAGUGCUCUUGUAAAGCAAAGGCCACGGGUUCGAGUCCCGUCUCCGGCU
This 73-nucleotide transfer RNA is filed under the name Paraconexibacter antarcticus. RNAcentral's name for it is "Paraconexibacter sp. 02-257 tRNA-Thr". It matches the Rfam family "tRNA". From Rfam's summary of the family: Transfer RNA (tRNA) molecules are approximately 80 nucleotides in length. Their secondary structure includes four short double-helical elements and three loops (D, anti-codon, and T loops). Further hydrogen bonds mediate the characteristic L-shaped molecular structure. tRNAs have two regions of fundamental functional importance: the anti-codon, which is responsible for specific mRNA codon recognition, and the 3' end, to which the tRNAs corresponding amino acid is attached (by aminoacyl-tRNA synthetases). tRNAs cope with the degeneracy of the genetic code in two manners: having more than one tRNA (with a specific anti-codon) for a particular amino acid; and 'wobble' base-pairing, i.e. permitting non-standard base-pairing at the 3rd anti-codon position. The record is from RNAcentral. Lineage: Bacteria; Bacillati; Actinomycetota; Thermoleophilia; Solirubrobacterales; Paraconexibacteraceae.